AAAAUGCGUUACCUAGUGUGACAUGCAUUCCCUCGUGAAUCACCGACAUCUUGAACGUAACUGACGGGGUAGGUUCAUUCCUGCCUCAAUCACGGGCGAGUGUCAAUAUUUCACCACAAAAUUGAGUUUUCGGUCUUUUACCUUAGAGAAAAAUACCGUAACUUUAAAUUUAACCGUAUUUCCGCUUAAAUUAUCGGUGAUAUUUCCCUUAUAGGGUUAUUUACCAAGUGGAUCCUCGGGUAUUUUUUCCAUACCGUGAAUUUAUUUACGGUCAUUUUCAACUGAAAGGGUAAUAUCUUUCGGUCUAAUUUGACCUCGACCGUGAUAGACUACCCGCUGAAUUUAA
This 346-nucleotide unclassified non-coding RNA is filed under the name uncultured fungus. Its description in RNAcentral is "sequence contains ITS1". The stretch from base 1 to 105 matches the Rfam family "5.8S ribosomal RNA", at positions 50 to 154 of the family's 154-position model. Lineage: Eukaryota; Fungi. The record is from RNAcentral.